Molecule: long non-coding RNA, 148 nt
Organism: Grammomys surdaster
Lineage: Eukaryota; Metazoa; Chordata; Mammalia; Rodentia; Muridae
Exons: 3
Source: RefSeq, a predicted model, not a curated record
AGAGGAGACAUUCUCAAACUGCAGUCACCCAGUUCUUUUAGAAUAAAUCAGCCGUGAUAGAAUGGAACUCCAGAUCAUAUGGAGUUAUAAAGUUUUAGAAGAUUGAAGUGGUGGUGACCUAAUUCAGAGGGAAAAUAAAAUCAAGGAC